UACGGGGGGGGCAAGCGUUGUUCGGAAUUACUGGGCGUAAAGGGCUCGUAGGUGGCCAACUAAGUCGGACGUGAAAUCCCUCAGCUUAACUGGGGAACUGCGUCCGAUACUGGAUGGCUUGAGUUUGGGAGAGGGAUGCGGAAUUCCAGGUGUAGCGGUGAAAUGCGUAGAUAUCGAGAGGAACACCUGCGGCGAAGGCGGGUUGCUGGGCCGACACUGACGCUGAUGCGCGAAAGCCAGGGGAGCGAACGGG
This 253-nucleotide ribosomal RNA is filed under the name uncultured bacterium. RNAcentral describes it as "partial 16S ribosomal RNA". It matches the Rfam family "Bacterial small subunit ribosomal RNA", at positions 524 to 776 of the family's 1533-position model. The record is from RNAcentral.